UGACCGCUGGCGGCAGGCCUACCACAUGCAAGUCGAGCGGAUGAAGGGAGCUUGCUCCUGGAUUCAGCGGCGGACGGGUGAGUAAUGCCUAGGAAUCUGCCUGGUAGUGGGGAUAACGUCCGGAAACGGGCGCUAAUACCGCAUACGUCCUGAGGGAGAAAGUGGGGGAUCUUCGGACCUCACGCUAUCAGAUGAGCCUAGGUCGGAUUAGCUAGUUGGUGGGGUAAAGGCCUACCAAGGCGACGAUCCGUAACUGGUCUGAGAGGAUGAUCAGUCACACUGGAACUGAGACACGGUCCAGACUCCUACGGGAGGCAGCAGUGGGGAAUAUUGGACAAUGGGCGAAAGCCUGAUCCAGCCAUGCCGCGUGUGUGAAGAAGGUCUUCGGAUUGUAAAGCACUUUAAGUUGGGAGGAAGGGCAGUAAGUUAAUACCUUGCUGUUUUGACGUUACCAACAGAAUAAGCACCGGCUAACUUCGUG
RNAcentral lists this ribosomal RNA (481 nucleotides) under uncultured bacterium. RNAcentral's name for it is "partial 16S ribosomal RNA". It matches the Rfam family "Bacterial small subunit ribosomal RNA", at positions 30 to 507 of the family's 1533-position model. The record is from RNAcentral.